This 1097-nucleotide ribosomal RNA is filed under the name Saidovina sp. FF410. RNAcentral's name for it is "bacterial SSU rRNA". It matches the Rfam family "Eukaryotic small subunit ribosomal RNA", at positions 1160 to 1828 of the family's 1831-position model. Lineage: Eukaryota; Foraminifera; Rotaliida; Bolivinitidae. The record is from RNAcentral.
AAGGGCACCACAAGAACGCGUGGAGCAUGUGGCUUAAUUUGACUCAACGCGGGAAAUCUUACCGGGUCCGGACACACUGAGGAUUGACAGGUAACAUCUCUCACUGAUUUAUCAGUGUGAGUAUAAAUAUGCUAGUCCUUUCAUGAUUAUGUGAUAGGUGGUGCAUGGCCGUUCUUAGUUCGUGGAGUGAUCUGUCUGCUUAAUUGCGUUUCACUAUUGGGUCUAUAUAUACGUAUAUGUGUUGCGGCUUUGACCCCUCUAUAUCUGUUCACGCAGAUACUGAGUGCGCGUCUUACGCUUUGCUCACUAUACCUUAGACCCUGAAAGCAACGAACGUGACCGCAACCUCUUGUUGCUUUCAUCACACAUGCAUAAUAUAUAUAUCUUACGCUUCGGCGUAUAUAUUUUGUUAUGCUACGAAAGCUUGUCAUUCGUGACUACAUAAACUAGAGGGACCGCUGUUACUUUCUUAAACCAGAGGAAGGUUGCGGCAAUAACAGGUCUGUGAUGCCCUUAGAUGUUCCGGGCUGCACACGUGCUACAAUGAUUAUUGCAGUGAGCAUCUCAUUUUAUUACUACACCGCACGUGCGAGUCUAUAUUUAUUUCAUUACGCUUCGGCUAUUGUUAUAAAUAUCAGAUCUCUGCACGCGGUAAAGCCUACUUCGAAAGUAAGCGGGUAAUCAAUUAGAAGUAAUGAUUUCCUACAUACACACGAUUUCGAUCGUAUACUGCGCACAUACAUGCGGCGUAUAUACCCGGCAUACCUUGUUGUAUGUUCUUUGUGCGUAUAUAUGUAUUUUUCCGCAUGCGCAAUUGUCAAUUCAUGGUGGGGACAGACCAUUGUUUCAAUUGUUGGUCUCGGUCUUAACUAGGAAUGCCUUGUACGGGUCUUUGGUUCAACAAACCACCCGGAAUACGUCCCUGCCCUUUGUACACACCGCCCGUCGCUCUUACCGAUGGACUUCUCUGUGAGUUUGAGGGACUGUACUUUCACACUAUCACUAGUGUGAAUAUUAGGAAACUUAAACGAACAGUGUGGUCUAAAGGAAAGAGAAGUCGUAACAAGGCAUCAGUAGGUGAACCUGCAGAAGGAUCA